AAGGAUUUAAGUUAAAAAAACUAACAACCUUCAAAGUUGUAAAUAAAGGCAAUUCUUUAAGCCUUA
This 66-nucleotide transfer RNA is filed under the name Eretes sticticus. Its description in RNAcentral is "tRNA-Trp". Lineage: Eukaryota; Metazoa; Arthropoda; Insecta; Coleoptera; Dytiscidae. The record is from RNAcentral.